This is a long non-coding RNA of Penaeus monodon (black tiger shrimp), 960 nucleotides long. RefSeq lists it as uncharacterized. Lineage: Eukaryota; Metazoa; Arthropoda; Malacostraca; Decapoda; Penaeidae. The transcript has 2 exons. The record is from RefSeq and is a predicted model, not a curated record.
AGGAUGACGCCGUGAGGAAGCAGGCAGCUGAGACGCUCACGGAAUAGAUAGUCCCUUGUACAGGUACGAACAGCCUACCACACAUCCAGUAAUUUAUCUAUUUAAAUACUGGUAAGUUGCCUUUACAAGUUUCUUUGCCAACGGCGAGUCAUAAUUGUAAGGGCCAUGAAUAUGUCCAACCGACUCAUAACUGUCCUUAUAUCUCUUAAUUACAACUCGCGAAUGUAGCAGUUGUACAUAAUCUGAUGACAUUUUUAGCCUCAUAAUUCUUGCGAUGAUGCCCCUCCGUGGCCGGUCGAAUGAGGAGAGUGAGUGCCGGUUGAUUCGUGCUUCUAAAGGACGCAUCUGCCUUCCCGAUGCGUUUGAAUGGCCGGUUACAGCGCCGAGUUCCUUCUAGGGCUUCAUUGAAAGGGACGCAGGCCACCACGCGAGGUUGGCGAGCCGCGGUCGAGGGAGAGGUUUCAUUUUUUUAGUCUGUUUUUAAAGGUAAUCAAUAGUAUUUUUUGGUCUUUUCUUUUCUAUCAGGUAGUUUUCCAACUUCUUAAUGCCUCGGGGAGAAUGGUUGCAGCUUUUGAAUAAUAUGCUUCUCAUGGUAUUCUUAUGAGGUUCACACUCCUAGGAUUAGGAAUAUCCAAAACAAACAAAGAUUUAAAUUGUUAAAAUAAACACACUUGGCGGUGACGCUGCAUAACCAACAAUCUGGCAUGAUACAUCUCUCCCUUGACAGCUCUAGAUGGGACUAAAUGAACUUUCCAUGUUCCUUUAGCAGGCGUUUGCUUGCUGUGCUACGAGAGAUAAGAAAAAGAAGGAAAAAAAGAAAAAUGCAAUGCGCACGUGAUAAGUUGGAGUAAAAAAAAAUUGUAUAUAUAUAUGUGACACGCCAAAAAGCUUGUUAAUGGAAUAACCAAAUGAACGCGAGAUAAAACUAAAAUGGAAGAGAACUCGUGUUGCGUGAAUAUU